AAGCCAGACUCCUACGGGAGGCAGCAGUGAGGAAUAUUGGUCAAUGGACGAGAGUCUGAACCAGCCAAGUAGCGUGAAGGAUGACUGCCCUAUGGGUUGUAAACUUCUUUUAUAUGGGAAUAAAACAGGGUAUGCAUACCCUCUUGUAUGUACCAUAUGAAUAAGGAUCGGCUAACUCCGUGCCAGCAGCCGCGGUAAUACGGAGGAUCCGAGCGUUAUCCGGAUUUAUUGGGUUUAAAGGGAGCGUAGGUGGAUUGUUAAGUCAGUUGUGAAAGUUUGCGGCUCAACCGUAAAAUUGCAGUUGAAACUGGCAGUCUUGAGUACAGUAGAGGUGGGCGGAAUUCGUGGUGUAGCGGUGAAAUGCAUAGAUAUCGCGCAGAACUCCGAUUGCGAAGGCAGCUUACUAAACUAUAACUGACACUGAAGCACGAAAGCGUGGGGAUCAAACAGGAUUAGAUACCCUUGUAC
This 468-nucleotide ribosomal RNA is filed under the name uncultured bacterium. RNAcentral describes it as "bacterial SSU rRNA". It matches the Rfam family "Bacterial small subunit ribosomal RNA", at positions 328 to 793 of the family's 1533-position model. The record is from RNAcentral.